Gorilla gorilla gorilla (western lowland gorilla) is the source of this 276-nucleotide long non-coding RNA. RefSeq lists it as uncharacterized. NCBI's taxonomy places the organism in Eukaryota, Metazoa, Chordata, Mammalia, Primates, Hominidae. The record is from RefSeq and is a predicted model, not a curated record. The transcript is spliced from 3 exons.
CAGUCCCCUGGCUACAGAUGAGAAAACUGAAGCACCAAGUGGUUAACUAACUUGCUCAAGGUCAUGGAGACCAGAAGGCAAACCCAGUGGAGAGGAGCUUCAAAUAAAGGUGAUGCUGCUCCUUUAUGAUUGCAAAGGUUUUGAAGAGCAGCAAACUAAGCAAGGAAAUGAUGCCCCAAAGACACCAGCGCCACAGAAUGUCUGUGACUUGGGUAGAUAAACGAAAAACAGAAGAGACUGUGGAAUUUCUAAACCAAAGGACAAGUAAGAGCAUAU